This 195-nucleotide ribosomal RNA is filed under the name Photobacterium iliopiscarium. Its description in RNAcentral is "partial 16S ribosomal RNA". It matches the Rfam family "Bacterial small subunit ribosomal RNA", at positions 1 to 184 of the family's 1533-position model. The record is from RNAcentral. Lineage: Bacteria; Pseudomonadati; Pseudomonadota; Gammaproteobacteria; Vibrionales; Vibrionaceae.
ACUUUAAUUGAAGAGUUUGAUCAUGGCUCAGAUUGAACGCUGGCGGCAGGCCUAACACAUGCAAGUCGAGCGGUAACAGAUUGAUAGCUUGCUAUCAAUGCUGACGAGCGGCGGACGGGUGAGUAAUGCCUGGGAAUAUACCUGAUGUGGGGGAUAACUAUUGGAAACGAUAGCUAAUACCGCAUAAUCUCUUCG